RNAcentral lists this ribosomal RNA (253 nucleotides) under uncultured bacterium. RNAcentral's name for it is "partial 16S ribosomal RNA". It matches the Rfam family "Bacterial small subunit ribosomal RNA", at positions 524 to 776 of the family's 1533-position model. The record is from RNAcentral.
UACGUAGGGGGCAAGCGUUGUCCGGAAUCAUUGGGCGUAAAGAGCGCGUAGGCGGUUCGGUAAGUCCGCUGUGAAAGUCCAGGGCUCAACCCUGGAAAGCCGGUGGAAACUGUCGAGCUAGAGUCCGGAAGAGGCGAGUGGAAUUCCCGGUGUAGCGGUGAAAUGCGCAGAUAUCGGGAAGAACACCCGUGGCGAAGGCGGCGCUCUGGAACGCAACUGACGCUGAGACGCGAAAGCGUGGGGAGCAAACAGG